UUAACAGCUGUUAAUUUGCUCUCUGGCUGGAGUACCUGUGUGGCAGCCCUGCGGUGCUGCACCGGGCAGGGUGGGGACAGGGACAGGGUCGGGCUGUGUGUGGCACGGGAAGGCCGGCACCGAUGCGUCAGGUCAGCCCGAGCAAAGGUUUUUUUCAGUCGGAUCGGGCUGGAACUUCACCGAAAAUUAUUUGUCCGUACUGCUGAUCCAAACGUGAAUUAGCUGGGUCAUGGCUUGCACUCUGCUUCCUCCCCGGAAAACCUGCUGAGGCAGAGCGCAGCGCUGCUGAUGCCCAACCGCUGCUUAUUCUGAGGCUUAAAGCAGGCUCCAAUCCAGCGGCUCUUCUGGAUGCAUUUCCACGUCCAUUCUUCCCAGAACUAGGUUUUUGGAUUCAGUAGAACUGCAGGAAGCACAGCCUGUGUUUAUCAGCCAGUGCAGUUGACUUCUCUCCCCACUGGGAAAUGACUUGCUUUUCAUCUAGUGUUCUCUCCAUAAGCUAUCAACAGUCACCAAACAAAACAGGCUUUAUAAAGAAACUUCCUGUAACCCUAGUUAAACUUUUCUUGCCUCAUCCCUGCAUCAAAAAGGUAAAGUCAUGCCUGUCUUUUGCAGCUCAAUGUCUUGCAUUGGUUUUCUAAGCUUAUUCUACUGAAGACCAUUAGAGUAUUUAAAGGCUGUUCCUGGGGCCAACUGGAGGAUGGCCUGUGGUGCCAAAAAAUAAUUGGUUUGUGAGGCAGAGUCUGCUUCUCUCCUUUAGUGAGUGACCUACUGAGUCAAAAGUUACUGGCAAGUCAUGUAUUAUUUUGAUCUUGGCAGGAGGUUGGCAGCUCAGCUAAGAGCUUGCAGGCAGAGGCACAGAAUGUGAAAUGCAGUUAUCUGCUCUCCAGUAGGAGUAGUGAGAGAAAAGCUGACACAUCAGGGCACCUAGACCAUUAGUGGUCUGCAGAAUACAAGCUCUUACUCAAACUCCACUCUGUGCCUCAAACCUCUUCUGUAGAAGAUGCAUAGGAAGCAAAUCACUGUUCAGGCUUCUAGCUCAAGAGUGAAAAGCAAGUAGUUCAAACUGACUUUAGAAAUGCUUUGGUAGAAUGGGUAGAAGUAGAAAAAGGCUUUGGGGCUGUUCACAUCAGGUUGGACUCAAAAUAUUCCUGAGAGAUGUGUUAAAUACUGUACCUGUGAUGCUUUAGUGGAGUAAGGGAGCUUCUUGUGUUUCCCUGUGCCAGUAUUAUCUCUUGUGACUCCUCAGAGUGGCUGCGUGCAGUAUGGCACGCACAAGGGGGCUGUGGGAGGAGAGCCUGGUAAGAGAACGUGCUUCUCUUCCUGCCCACUGGUUAUGGGGAUUUAUGGGAUUGUGUUUAAAAUAGGAACAGUUUCUCUGAAACUGAUGGGUUUAUCUCAGGAGCUCUUUAGCUCAGGGUAUGCCCCUUAAGUAAAUUAUGCAGCCUGUCUUCCCCAGGAUGAAGUGAUUGCAGCUACUCUUGUGUGAAACCAAGUGCAGCCCGUGGCCUCCUGGAGAGUGGCUAAUGCAGGCAGCUGAGCAAAGCUCAGGAGCUCAGAUUAGCUGCUGGGGUAAUGGCAUUGUUUUGAGCGUGAGGUCUUGGGUUGGUGAUGGCUAGUGCUAGCUGAAUGGAUGGGUUUUCUCAACAACUUCAGUUUGCCAGAGCAGCCUGACUGAUCCCUCUCCUGCUUCCACUACUGUCACUUGUCCAAGAUCAUACUGAUUUCUGGAAUGCAGAAAUGGCUGCAGUUGGUGAUUUGCCUUCAGUACCUCUCCUGAUUUCUUCCUGGAUGAAAACUCAGCAGCUAAUGUACCUUGAACUGCUUAGUUAGAUAAGCUCAUUAAUGCACAGAAGUCUUACUUACUGUUAAGUCAGAACCCAAACUGUCUUUUAAUAGACUACUAAAGGGGUUGGUUGUUUUACACCAGCUUAUUCACUGACUUAUGAUUGCUGUUUCCUGGAUGUGCUCUGUAGAUUACAGAAAUCAGCAUUCCUGUUUGCAUUCAGGCUAAGUUAUGUCUGUGCUGGAGGAAACUUUCAGCCCCUUAAUGGGAGUGACAAAGUCCAAGUAGCUGAGUCUUGGGCUCACUACUGAUCAACUUGUGUUUAUUUGUACCCUGUACUGGAUGAAGCUCAUGGCUUGCCUCACAGUGGGGCUGUGGCCAGAAGGGCUCUGCAGCUUAGCAGCAGUCCUGACAUCUCAUCCAGCCUUGGUCAGUGCUGGUUGAAGGCUUUAUUUUCCACACCUGUAAGGCCAGACUCUUUCCUGGACAGGUAAAAUCUUAUCUCUAUGGUAAGAGUAUCACCUACACAGCUGCCUUGGGAAAAUAUGGCUGAUCCCAAAGUUGCCUCCUAAAAUGAGUGGCCAGAUGUGCUCACUGGUGAUGCUGCUGGUGCUCAUCAAAUCCAGGCACAGCUGGGGUGAUCAUGUGAAAUUGUAGGUAUGUUGUUACAGGCAGCCUAAGAACUGCUGCAGUCACAUUGCUCUGGAGCAGCUGAGCUGCUGUGUCACCACUGCACCUCUGGAGAGAGAACACAGAGGAUUUGCUGAGUAGAUGCCAUGAGAGCAAACAGGCCUGGCCCAAGAGUUCCUCAGCUUUGGCCUGCACUGAACACAGAGAAGCUGGCGUGGAAGGAUACAAAGAACUGUAUUUGUACUUUCCUUAGGCAGAAAUACCAAUAUACACCAAAAAUUUAUGGUGGCUCUGGUACAGUCAGGCUGUAGGUGCAUUACAUUACUAGUGACACAUUUCUUUCAGACAAUUCCUAAUUCUUUUGGAGCUGGAGCAAGUACUUCUUGCCUUGCAUGUGAAACUGGAAUUACUGCAGCUAUGUGCCUUUUACCACUGAAGAAAACGGACUAAAAAUUCACUGUUCUUCCUAAGCAACAAAUUUGAGCAGAUCAGCUUGUUUGUUUUUACUUGUGCAAACAGAGCUACAAAAGGCAGAGAACUGUUUCAAGGUUUACAGUGUAGGUUGAAGCUACACCACUGUCUGCUGGUGCAGGGAAUGCUUAAUGGUCUGUGUGGUGUCACGUGAAAGACUGCAGGUUGUGGGACAAAGGUAUUGGAGAAAAUCACUCAUUUGAAUAUCUGUGUAUCUGGGAUCUAGGCUACAAUUCAGCUUAGUCUUUCCUAGGUUAAUGAGCAAAUGACUGAUGCUGCAGUUGUGUCUUAUUGCUGGUGUAAUGCUUUGGCUUCUCAAUUAGAGACACCAUGGAAGGAUGCCCUGAACAGAAACUACAGCGUUGGUAAUGUGUGCUGUGUGUUCUGAAAGAGUUGCUGCAGACAAACAGCUGCAGAGGGAAUGAACUGUGCUGGUUAGUUGAUUCCUUACAUGUGCCUUGUUUAGUAAGAAAGUUCCAUGCUGUGUGUUCAUUUUUCUGCAGCUGUUAUAAAUCAGAAUUGAUGAAGAGGAAAUGGAAGAGGAAGGCUGGGCUCUGACAUGCUGCAGGAGGGAGCUGCUCUAUCUCCACUUGAUAAAUGCAGGUUUAGUGCCUCAUCUCACUAGGUAGCUCCCAGUGCAGCCACUUGUUGCACCCCACAAUAUGUGAAGCUGACAGUCCAGCAACAGGAUCCUGCUGCCUGAGCUUGUGCUCCUGGCUUCACCCAGGCAUUCCAUGAGUGGCACACUGAAAGGAUGAAGUCUGACUUUUGGAGAGCCACCUGGUUUUAGAUCAGACCUAAUAAACAGAGCAUUUUCCAUCUCUGAUGGAAUCA
RNAcentral lists this long non-coding RNA (3718 nucleotides) under Zonotrichia albicollis (white-throated sparrow). Its description in RNAcentral is "lncRNA (ENSZALG00000006172.1)". The record is from RNAcentral. Lineage: Eukaryota; Metazoa; Chordata; Aves; Passeriformes; Passerellidae.